UUUGCAAAUUAUAUCUAUUUAUAAUAUAUUUUUAUUUUAUAGUUUACAAUUAUUAUUAAGUAACGUACUGCCAAACCCGUCCCGCCAAACCCAUCCCGUAAAAAAACCAUUUAUUUAUAUUACUGUUGAUCUUAUUUAUGAUAUAUUUAUAAAUCAUUGUCUAUAUAUUUUUGUCGAUGCGGGACGUUGAACCCACACAUUUUUUGCCAAUUGGUUAAUAUAUGUUCAUUUUUAAAAUUUUGAAUCAUAAAAUAUGAUGGAAAAAAUUAAGAUUUUUUUAAACUCUAUAUAUUAUAUAAUGAUGUUAAAAAUUAUGAUAUAUCAAACUUUUUAUAAGUUUAAAUAUUAAUAAU
Molecule: small RNA, 353 nt
Filed under: Arabidopsis thaliana (thale cress)
Lineage: Eukaryota; Viridiplantae; Streptophyta; Magnoliopsida; Brassicales; Brassicaceae
Description: ATSL140020
Source: RNAcentral